This 305-nucleotide ribosomal RNA is filed under the name uncultured bacterium. Its description in RNAcentral is "bacterial SSU rRNA". It matches the Rfam family "Bacterial small subunit ribosomal RNA", at positions 334 to 655 of the family's 1533-position model. The record is from RNAcentral.
UUUCCCUACGGGACGCAGCAGUGGGGGAUAUUGCACAAUGGGGGGAACCCUGAUGCAGCGACGCCGCGUGAGUGAAGAAGUAAUUCGUUAUGUAAAGCUCUAUCAGCAGGGAAGAAUAAAUGACGGUACCUGAGUAAGAAGUCACGGCUAACUACGUGCCAGCAGCCGCGGUAAUACGUAGGUGGCGAGCGUUAUCCGGAAUGAUUGGGCGUAAAGGGUGCGUAGGCGGCCUGCUAAGUCUGGAGUGAAAGGUACCGGCUCAACCAGUACAGGCUCUGGAAACUGGCGGGCUAGAGAGCAGGAGG